CCACACCUGACUAAUUUUUGUAUUUUUUGUAGAGACAGGGUUUUGCCAUGUUGCCCAGGCUGGUCUCGAACUCCUGGGCUCAAGUGAUCCACCUGCCUCAGCCUCCCAAAGUGCCGGGAUUAUAGGAGUGAAUGCCCCCAAGGAGUCCCACGGCUCAGGCUUCCUGUCUGACCUUGCGGUCACUUCCUCCCUGUGUCCUGGAGGCUCCUGGGUCCAGCCACCACCCCUGGCCUUGUUUUUAAAAAUAAUUUUAUCAGAUAUGUAUACAUCCCUCAAAAAUGUAUUGUAUGGUUUCUGUUGUUUUUGAGUGGAAAAAAUCAUAUUGGUGAUGUCUUCCACAUUUAAGUUCAUAAUUUAUCUGGAAUUGAUUUUUGUGUAUGUUCUGAGAUAGUGAUCCACAUUGAUUUUUUUUUUCUCCUGUGUGGUUCUAAUUAUCCCUGUACCAUGUAUUGAAUUGGCCCUCUGUUCACCAGUGGUCUGCUGUGCCAUCUCUUUUACAUGUUUAGUUACUACCUGCAUGGGUCUGUUUUUGG
RNAcentral lists this long non-coding RNA (533 nucleotides) under Homo sapiens (human). RNAcentral describes it as "non-protein coding lnc-TTC3-4:1". The record is from RNAcentral. Lineage: Eukaryota; Metazoa; Chordata; Mammalia; Primates; Hominidae.